Molecule: long non-coding RNA, 372 nt
Filed under: Mytilus galloprovincialis (Mediterranean mussel)
Lineage: Eukaryota; Metazoa; Mollusca; Bivalvia; Mytilida; Mytilidae
Source: RNAcentral
CCGGUUAAGAUUUGACUAAAUACCAAAUUCUUGAUAUCGUCAGGUAAAUAUGCUAAAUUAAUCUACAAAGCGAGAGCACUUUCCAUUUUUAUCAGCUAAGAGUCGACUAGCCCUUUUUGAAAGGCUAAUGCUUGUUAUGUAUAAAGAAAUGAUGUUUUGUCUUGCGGUGAUCAGCUGUCAAUUUAUUUUUAGCUCACCAGGCCCGAAGGGCCAUGUGAGCUUUUCUCAUUACUUUGCGUCCGUCGUCGUCGUGGUAAAAUGCAGUUUUUGGCUUAUAACUGAAAAACCAAAGCAUUUAGAGCAAAUCUGACAUGGGGUAAAAUUGUUUGUCAGGUCAAGAUAUCUCUGCCCUGAAAUUUUCAGAUGAAUCGG